This 406-nucleotide ribosomal RNA is filed under the name uncultured bacterium. Its description in RNAcentral is "partial 16S ribosomal RNA". It matches the Rfam family "Bacterial small subunit ribosomal RNA", at positions 30 to 526 of the family's 1533-position model. The record is from RNAcentral.
AUUGAACGCUGGCGGCAGGCCUAACACAUGCAAGUCGAACGAGUGGCGGACGGGUGAGUAAUGGCUGGGAAACUGCCUGAUGGAGGGGGAUAACUACUGGAAACGGUAGCUAAUACCGCAUACCAUCGGAUGUGCCCAGAUGGGAUUAGCGUGUUGGUGGGGUAACGGCGCACCAAGGCGACGAUCACUAGCUCGUCUGAGAUGAUGACCAGCCACACUGUAACUGAGACACGGGCCAGAGUCCUACGGGAGGAAGCAGUGGGGAAUAUUGCACAAGUGGCGCAAGCCUGAUGCAUCCAUGCCGCGUGUAUGAAGAAGGCCUUCGGGUUGUAAAGUACUUUCAGCGGGGAGGCGUUACCCGCAGAAGAAGCACCGGCUAACGCCGUGCCAGCCGCCGCGGUAAUAC